GUGCCAGCCGCCGCGGUAAUACCGGCAGCACGAGUGAUGGCCGAUCUUAUUGGGCCUAAAGCGUCCGUAGCCGGCCGGACAAGUCCGUUGGGAAAUCCACGCGCUCAACGCGUGGGCGUCCAGCGGAAACUGUCCGGCUUGGGGCCGGAAGACCUGAGGGGUACGUCCGGGGUAGGAGUGAAAUCCUGUAAUCCUGGACGGACCGCCGGUGGCGAAAGCGCCUCAGGAAGACGGACCCGACGGUGAGGGACGAAAGCUAGGGUCUCGAACCGGAUUAGAUACCCGAGUAGUCC
This 293-nucleotide ribosomal RNA is filed under the name uncultured bacterium. RNAcentral's name for it is "partial 16S ribosomal RNA". It matches the Rfam family "Archaeal small subunit ribosomal RNA", at positions 455 to 747 of the family's 1478-position model. The record is from RNAcentral.